This is a long non-coding RNA of Rhopalosiphum maidis (corn leaf aphid), 525 nucleotides long. RefSeq lists it as uncharacterized. Lineage: Eukaryota; Metazoa; Arthropoda; Insecta; Hemiptera; Aphididae. The transcript has 3 exons. The record is from RefSeq and is a predicted model, not a curated record.
UUCGAUUCUGGUGAUGCAGUGUUAGUAAUUUUUACCUUUAGCUUUAAUGUGUGGCUCCGCCAGGUGUCUUAAUAAUUGCAGAUGUAAAUGUCCAAGCUCACCAGUCAUUGCUUUGUUUUAAAUAGAUUUACAAACUAAGAAAGCUAAAUUCAACCGGUCACUGAUUGAAAGUCAAGCAGCAAAAAUCAGUUGUUUUAUUAAUGUUUAAGAUGUUUGAGUAGGUACUUAGGUAAAACACCGAACAACCCAAAUCCACCCGUUAUGCAGAACUCACAUACACAAACAUGUAGAUGUCGACGCCAUUAAUGGAGGAAUUGCAAAGGAACGCAGUUAACCGACCUCGCAUAAAAAGUGUCCCCUUAAACACUUUCUGCAAAAGGUAUAAUAGGAAUAGAACACUAAACCCUUUGGAAUCAAAGUAAUUUCAUUUCUAAAAAAUUAUUUUUCAUGAUAAUAUUACGAACUAAAGCAAACACUAGUUCAAACAUGUUUAUCUGUAUAAUACAGUAUAUAUGUUAAACUCAA